CAGAAGCAGAGUGUGGGCGUCUCCACCAUGGCCUGGGCCCCUCUCCUCCUCGCCCUCCUUGCUCACAGCUCAGGGUCCGGGGUGCGGGCCGGGCUGACGCAGGAAGCCUCGCUGUCGGGGUCUCCGGGCCAGAAGGUCACCCUGUCCUGCAAGGGGAACAGCAACAAUGUUGGAGCACGUACUGUGGGCUGGUACCAGCAGGUCACGGGCUCUGCCCCCAAAACCGUGAUGUUCGGCAGCUCCCGGCCCUCGGGGAUCCCGGAGCGGUUCUCUGGCUCCCAGUCCGGCAACACGGCUUCGCUGGUCAUCACGGGCCUGCAGCCCGAGGACGAGGCUGUUUAUUACUGUUCAACAUGGGACACCAGCAUCAGCAAUCACACACUGCUCCCCACCCACGGGGAACUGAGACAAAAACCCGCCCUGUUCCCCCUGAUCGCCCUGAAUGCCGUGACACAGAAGCGGUGGCUGUGGCAGACCCUACAGGGUCCGACUCGAGAGUCGUUCUGA
Myotis lucifugus (little brown bat) is the source of this 507-nucleotide non-coding RNA. Lineage: Eukaryota; Metazoa; Chordata; Mammalia; Chiroptera; Vespertilionidae. The record is from the annotation of a RefSeq genome assembly.